RNAcentral lists this long non-coding RNA (213 nucleotides) under Gossypium barbadense (sea-island cotton). Its description in RNAcentral is "long non-coding RNA (GBAR_LNC019964)". Lineage: Eukaryota; Viridiplantae; Streptophyta; Magnoliopsida; Malvales; Malvaceae. The record is from RNAcentral.
AAUCUAUACGCAACCGGACCAACUCGUUCGGAGAUUUCGUACGGCCUAAUGAAUCUCGGACUCAACUUGCCCUUACGGCCAAAUCUGAGUACCUUUUUCCAAGGCGAAACUUUAAGAAACACUUUAUCUCCCACCUGAUAUUCAAUGUCUUUUCGUUUCAAAUCCGCAUACGAUUUCUGACGAUCUGUGGCUGUCUUCAGACUUUCACAAAUU